Molecule: ribosomal RNA, 387 nt
Filed under: uncultured bacterium
Lineage: Bacteria
Description: bacterial SSU rRNA
Rfam family: Bacterial small subunit ribosomal RNA
Source: RNAcentral
AUUGAACGCUGGCGGCAUGCCUUACACAUGCAAGUCGAACGGCAGCACGGGGGCAACCCUGGUGGCGAGUGGCGAACGGGUGAGUAAUACAUCGGAAUGUACCCAGUAGUGGGGGGAUAACUAGUCGAAAGAUUAGCUAAUACCGCAUACGCACUAUGGUGGAAAGCGGGGGAUCGCAAGACCUCGCGCUAUUGGAGCAGCCGAUGUCCGAUUAGGUAGUUGGUGGGGUAAAAGCCUACCAAGCCUGCGAUCGGUAACUGGUCUGAGAGGACGACCAGUCACACUGGGACUGAGACACGGCCCAGACUCCCACGGGAGGCAGCAGUGGGGAAUUUUGGACAAUGGGGGAAACCCUGAUCCAGCAAUGCCGCGUGUGUGACGAAGGCC